AAAGGAAAAUUUAAAAAUCAUGGAUUUUCUUAUAUAUGAAAUCAUAUUUUAAUAUUUAUUUAUGUUUAUUUUGUAUGAGUUCAGGAGAUGAAAAAUGGGAAGAAAGGGCAACCGAGUUGGGUUCGGACAAAAGUUAGAGUAGAAGAGCAUGUGAUUGUUCCUGAUAUAGACCCCGACAUUGAAAAUCCCUAUCAGUAUGUUGAAGACUAUAUCUCAAAUCUAACGACCGUUCCUAUGGAUUUAUCUAAACCAUUAUGGGAAAUUCACUUACUCUGCCUCAAAACAUCAAACGCUGAGUCCAUUGGCCUUCUGAAGAUCCAUCAUUCUUUGGGUGAUGGAAUGUCUCUCAUGUCUCUUUUCCUCGCUUGCACCCGUAAAACAUCAGACCCUGAGGCUUUGCCCACUGUCGCCGUCCAGAAAAAAACAGUUUGGACCGACCUGCUACAGUGGUUUCUUUAACAAGAUUUGGUGGUUAUUUGUAGGGCUUUGGUUCAUCCUAAGAUUGGUCUUCAAGACUUUUGUUGAUGUCUUAAUGUUUGCUCUAACAAUUUGUUUCUUGAGGGAUACGGAGACUCCUCUCUUAGCGAAACCCGGUUGUGAACUUAAACCUAAGAGGUUCGUCCACCGGAUUAUCAGUUUUGACGAUGUUAAGCUGGUGAAAAACGCAAUGAACAUGACGGUAAACGAUGUUCUUCCUGGCGUAACACAAGCCGGACUUUCUCGGUAUCUUAGUCGAAGAUAUGAUCAAGAAGCAACACCGAAAUUCAAAGAGUUGAUGAGGAGAAUCCGACUUCGUUCAGCAAUUAUGAUUAACGUGAGACCAAACGCAGGAAUUGAGGUAACAAAAUGUUUAAUCUUAAGUGUGUUUGAAAUCAAAUAUUUUUAAGCUGAUUGUGUGAUUUCAUUAUUGUUACGAUGAUGCAAAAUAGGCUCUAGCGGAUAUGAUGGCCAAGAAAUCGAAAUGCAGAUGGGGAAACCUCUUCGGUUACAUCCUCCUACCAUUCUCAAUCGGGCUGGAGACUGACCCUCUAGAAUACUUGCGCCGAGCUAAAGUCACCGUUGAUCGCAAAAAGCAUUCCCUUGAGGCUGUAUUCUCUAUGGCGUUCUUUAAGCUGAUACUAAAAGUUCUUGGGCUCAAGGCAAGUGUAGUUCUUGUAAGGAAAGUGAUCCAUAGCACAACAUUGACAUUCUCGAAUGUUGUCGGUCCAAAAGGAAGAAAUUACUUUUCACGGCCAUCCGUUGUCUUAUAUCGCCCCUAGUGUUUUUGGCCACCCACAUGCUCUUACUAUACAUUUCCAAAGUUAUGCAAACAAGGUCAUAAUAUCAGUAACAGCCGAUCCAAUAGUCAUUCCUAACCCUCACAAGAUGUGUGAUAAUUUGGUGGAGUCUCUCAAGUUAAUCAAAUCCUCUGUCUUAGAAAGAGGGUUAUAUGAGAUGGAGGUUUAAAGAAAGCUCUUCUAUUGUAUCAUUAUUAUAUCGUAUCAUCGGUUUCUUAUAUGUACUACCGUUCCUUCAUUGUUACUCUCAAUAUGUACUAAGUUACUAUGAUAGAGCAUCUAACAGUAAGAUAUCAAGUUUAUAUAAAGCAGAUUAUCCACUAUGGUCAAAGUAAGAAUUAAAUUACUUUAGUUUAGUUGGGUGUGGAUUACACAUAUGAAAUAAGAUUUGAAAAUAACUUCGAAGAAUUGACAUUGAAGGCUUUUUAAGAACAUCAUCUUUUUCCACAAAACAAAGACUAC
This is a long non-coding RNA of Brassica napus (rape), 1739 nucleotides long. RefSeq lists it as uncharacterized. The transcript has 5 exons. The record is from RefSeq and is a predicted model, not a curated record. Lineage: Eukaryota; Viridiplantae; Streptophyta; Magnoliopsida; Brassicales; Brassicaceae.